RNAcentral lists this ribosomal RNA (2026 nucleotides) under Salmonella enterica subsp. enterica. RNAcentral's name for it is "partial 23S ribosomal RNA". It matches the Rfam family "Bacterial large subunit ribosomal RNA", at positions 794 to 2803 of the family's 2925-position model. Lineage: Bacteria; Pseudomonadati; Pseudomonadota; Gammaproteobacteria; Enterobacterales; Enterobacteriaceae. The record is from RNAcentral.
AAAUUAGCGGAUGACCUGUGGCUGGGGGUGAAAGGCCAAUCAAACCGGGAGAUAGCUGGUUCUCCCCGAAAGCUAUUUAGGUAGCGCCUCGUGAAUUCAUCUCCGGGGGUAGAGCACUGUUUCGGCUAGGGGGCCAUCCCGGCUUACCAACCCGAUGCAAACUGCGAAUACCGGAGAAUGUUAUCACGGGAGACACACGGCGGGUGCUAACGUCCGUCGUGAAGAGGGAAACAACCCAGACCGCCAGCUAAGGUCCCAAAGUCAUGGUUAAGUGGGAAACGAUGUGGGAAGGCCCAGACAGCCAGGAUGUUGGCUUAGAAGCAGCCAUCAUUUAAAGAAAGCGUAAUAGCUCACUGGUCGAGUCGGCCUGCGCGGAAGAUGUAACGGGGCUAAACCAUGCACCGAAGCUGCGGCAGCGACACUGUGUGUUGUUGGGUAGGGGAGCGUUCUGUAAGCCUGUGAAGGUGGCCUGUGAGGGUUGCUGGAGGUAUCAGAAGUGCGAAUGCUGACAUAAGUAACGAUAAAGCGGGUGAAAAGCCCGCUCGCCGGAAGACCAAGGGUUCCUGUCCAACGUUAAUCGGGGCAGGGUGAGUCGACCCCUAAGGCGAGGCCGAAAGGCGUAGUCGAUGGGAAACGGGUUAAUAUUCCCGUACUUGGUGUUACUGCGAAGGGGGGACGGAGAAGGCUAUGUUGGCCGGGCGACGGUUGUCCCGGUUUAAGCGUGUAGGCUGGUUUUCCAGGCAAAUCCGGAAAAUCAAGGCUGAGGCGUGACGACGAGGCACUACGGUGCUGAAGCAACAAAUGCCCUGCUUCCAGGAAAAGCCUCUAAGCAUCAGGUAACAUCAAAUCGUACCCCAAACCGACACAGGUGGUCAGGUAGAGAAUACCAAGGCGCUUGAGAGAACUCGGGUGAAGGAACUAGGCAAAAUGGUGCCGUAACUUCGGGAGAAGGCACGCUGACACGUAGGUGAAGUGAUUUACUCAUGGAGCUGAAGUCAGUCGAAGAUACCAGCUGGCUGCAACUGUUUAUUAAAAACACAGCACUGUGCAAACACGAAAGUGGACGUAUACGGUGUGACGCCUGCCCGGUGCCGGAAGGUUAAUUGAUGGGGUCAGCGCAAGCGAAGCUCCUGAUCGAAGCCCCGGUAAACGGCGGCCGUAACUAUAACGGUCCUAAGGUAGCGAAAUUCCUUGUCGGGUAAGUUCCGACCUGCACGAAUGGCGUAAUGAUGGCCAGGCUGUCUCCACCCGAGACUCAGUGAAAUUGAACUCGCUGUGAAGAUGCAGUGUACCCGCGGCAAGACGGAAAGACCCCGUGAACCUUUACUAUAGCUUGACACUGAACAUUGAGCCUUGAUGUGUAGGAUAGGUGGGAGGCUUUGAAGUGUGGACGCCAGUCUGCAUGGAGCCGACCUUGAAAUACCACCCUUUAAUGUUUGAUGUUCUAACGUGGACCCGUGAUCCGGGUUGCGGACAGUGUCUGGUGGGUAGUUUGACUGGGGCGGUCUCCUCCUAAAGAGUAACGGAGGAGCACGAAGGUUGGCUAAUCCUGGUCGGACAUCAGGAGGUUAGUGCAAUGGCAUAAGCCAGCUUGACUGCGAGCGUGACGGCGCGAGCAGGUGCGAAAGCAGGUCAUAGUGAUCCGGUGGUUCUGAAUGGAAGGGCCAUCGCUCAACGGAUAAAAGGUACUCCGGGGAUAACAGGCUGAUACCGCCCAAGAGUUCAUAUCGACGGCGGUGUUUGGCACCUCGAUGUCGGCUCAUCACAUCCUGGGGCUGAAGUAGGUCCCAAGGGUAUGGCUGUUCGCCAUUUAAAGUGGUACGCGAGCUGGGUUUAGAACGUCGUGAGACAGUUCGGUCCCUAUCUGCCGUGGGCGCUGGAGAACUGAGGGGGGCUGCUCCUAGUACGAGAGGACCGGAGUGGACGCAUCACUGGUGUUCGGGUUGUCAUGCCAAUGGCACUGCCCGGUAGCUAAAUGCGGAAGAGAUAAGUGCUGAAAGCAUCUAAGCACGAAACUUGCCCCGAG